AUUGAACGCUGGCGGCAUGCCUUACACAUGCAAGUCGAACGGCAGCACGGGAGCAAUCCUGGUGGCGAGUGGCGAACGGGUGAGUAAUAUAUCGGAACGUGCCCAGUCGCGGGGGAUAACGCAGCGAAAGCUGUGCUAACACCGCAUACGAUCUACGGAUGAAAGCGGGGGAUCGCCAGACCUCGCGCGAUUGGAGCGGCCGGUAUCAGCUUAGCUAGUUGGUGAGGUAAAGGCUCACCAAGGCGACGAUCUGGAGCUGGUCUGAGAGGACGACCAGCCACACUGGAAAUGAGACACGGUCCAGACUCCUACGGGAGGCAGCAGUGGGGAAAUGUGGACAAUGGGCGAAAGCCUGAGCCAGCAACGCCGCGUGCAGGAUGAAGGCCUUCGGGUUGUAAACUGCUUUUGUACGGGACGAAACGGUGAGCUCUAAUACAGUUUGCUAAUGACGGUACCGUAAGAAUAAGCACCGGCUAACUACGUGCCAGCCGCCGCCGUAA
This 500-nucleotide ribosomal RNA is filed under the name uncultured bacterium. RNAcentral describes it as "partial 16S ribosomal RNA". It matches the Rfam family "Bacterial small subunit ribosomal RNA", at positions 29 to 523 of the family's 1533-position model. The record is from RNAcentral.